This 214-nucleotide unclassified non-coding RNA is filed under the name Undeuchaeta plumosa. RNAcentral's name for it is "partial ITS2". Lineage: Eukaryota; Metazoa; Arthropoda; Copepoda; Calanoida; Aetideidae. The record is from RNAcentral.
CAUCCAUCGGACUUUGUGCUUUCUCGAAAGCGCGCUGACCGUCACGGGCUGUCACCUCYGCCUUACGGUGGACGUGCAGCCUCAGAGUAGACCGUGCGGAGUUUGCAACGACUCAACUCUUGGACCUAAACAGUCUGGGUUGACCUGUCUGCAGGCCGCAUGUGUAGGGUGCCAGUGCUCUCUGUCCCGCCUGGCGCACCUGCCUUUCACCAUU